GGCUCUGACGUGAGGCGUGCAGUGCUGACGUGACGGGAACCAUUUUGGACGUUGGUUUUAUUUUGUAAGGGGCUUCGGAAGGCUUCCUUUAAUCUUUACUUUUGGUCCCAUUGCCAAGAAGAGUUGUUCAAAAGGUCGUAAUACCUGAGUUCGGAAGAAACAGCUUACCAUAGAGAAAAUGCCGCCUCUUGAAACGGAUAUAGCAGUGGAAACAGAAGAGAGAGUAAGGUUUGAGCAUCGUGUAACACAGGAGCUUAAAGAUCUAUGCUCAUUGAUAAAGAGGCUAGUGUCAGAGUGCUUGGAAAGGAGAGAGAGAGAGAUAACAGAAAUGUGCAAGCCUGAUCGGUCACAAAAUCGAAUUACCGAAGUAAAUGCAAAACAAGAGAAACAUGCAGAAAAAAAGGAAAAAUAAAAGAGAAGAGAAAUCUACAGGAUCGAUCCAGGAGAUACAAUCUACACGUAAUAGGAAUACCUGAAACGGGAAAGCAAAUGAAGCUGAAACAGUAAGGACCUAAUUGAAGAAAAUGCUCCAGAUUCGAAAAACGAACUAAAUCUGCAAAUAGAAAAAGUUCAUAGAGUAUCAGUAAAACAACGAAAAGAAAGCAACACCUAGAUCUAGCCCAGUGACGUUUUUAAACUGGAAGGAUAAAGAAAAAAUUCUACAAGUAUUCAGAGAAAGCAGGUUACCUGUAAAGGGGUAAAAGUCAGACUGACGCGAUUUUUCUCUUGCAACUCUAAAUGCCGAGAGUAUCUACAGCUUUAAGGGAAAAUGAUUUUGAACUUAGAGUUAUAUAUCCUGUCAAGUUAUCGUUUCUAAAUGAAAGCAACUGGAAGACAUUACUAGAUAUGCAGGGGUUAAGAAAGUUUAUCAGCCAGAUACCAUUCUUGAAAAAUUUGCUAAAUGAUGUUACUGCAGAGCACAAAAACAACUCGAGUAGUGAGGCAAUUGUAUGGAAAAAAAAAUGGGUAAGCCUUAAAGCUAGUUAAAUAUCAUUAAAGAUUAAAUUGUUAUAUGUAGGGUUAUAAAACUAAAUGCAAAGAUAAAUUCUUGAGUUGGGUCUAAAAUUUCAGUUUGUCUUGUUUUAAACCGAAAAGGUGUGCUAAAUGUUCAAUGCAGACAGCAAGUAAGUACUGUUUUUAGUAUGUAAUGUAGAUAAAGAUAUGCAUGCUCUUCAGCUAAAUAAAUAAAAAGGGCUUUGUUACUGUGGUGGGCAGGACACCUAGAGUAAAGGCAUUCCAAGUGUUAAUCUGAUAAAAUGGGACAAUUGGUACAGUUUUGUGUCCUUUAUUUUUAAUUAUAGAGGGGGGAAAAGUAACAAGUUUGUUUAUAAUGUUAAUGCUGACAAUGUAAAGAAAAUUUCCAAAUCCCUGACUGGGGAGGUGGUAGAUGAAAACCUUGUUUUAUGUACAUCUUGCCUAGGGAAAAUCAGUAGUAACCACUUGAUGUAGUAGUUCAUUCUAAGUAAAUUUGACGUUGAGAUAAGUGUUACAGAUAAAAGAGGAGAGGAAAUGGUGAAAAAACAAAAACACUAAGAAAACAUUAAAAUUAGCACAAGAUAGACUAACAGAGAUAACAGGUGAAUUAUCACGCUUAUAAACAGGCUAAAUAUCCCUGUUAAAAAGAUUCAAAUUGGGUCAAAAAUCAGUCUCUGAACCUGGAGGUUUACAUUUGUGUAAAACAAAGGAUAAAGGAAUUUAAAGAUAAUGGAAACUGUUAAAGCAUAGAAAAUGAAAUAGGGAGCAACAUUUUUAUCAGAAUUUAAGCUAUAACAAAGUAUAAAACUGUAGGAUGUAGCAUUUAAGAAGCUUUAUGUGGUAAAUAACCUGGCAUUCAUCUGUAAAAUGUUCAGUAUCUUGAUGUGAGUGGUAGUUUUACUGCUGUAUAUAUAGUUAAGUGCAUUCUAAGUACUUAAUAAAGUAAUUCUUAA
Molecule: long non-coding RNA, 1928 nt
Organism: Callorhinus ursinus (northern fur seal)
Lineage: Eukaryota; Metazoa; Chordata; Mammalia; Carnivora; Otariidae
Source: RefSeq, a predicted model, not a curated record